UAAAUCUAGGGUAUGAUCCCGGCCCAGAAUGAAUGCUUGCGAUAAGCCUAAUACAUGCAAGUCGAACGCACAGAAAUGUGAGUGGCGAACGGGUGAGUAAUGCGUAAGAAUCUACCUCUUAAAUAGCCGUAAAUAGGAAAAGGCAAAGUCCGUUAAGAGAUGAGCUUGCGUAAGAUUAGGUAGUUGGUGUGGUAAAAGCUCACCAAGCCAAUGAUCUUUAGCUGGUCUGAGAGGAUGAUCAGCCACACUGGGACUGAGACACGGCCCAGACUCAAUGAUAGAGGCAGCAGUAAGGAAUAUUAGACAAUGAGCGGAAGCUUGAUCUAGCUAUAUCGCGUGGGUGAUGCAAACCUUCGGGUAGUAAAUCCCUUUAAUUGGAUAAAAGAUUAUGACAAAAUCCAAUCAAAAAGUCCCGGCUAACUUCGUGCCAGCAGCCGCGGUAAAACGGAGGGGACAAGUGUUAUUCGGAAUGACUGGGCGUAAAGAGUUCGUAGGCGGACAUACGAGUUUGAAGGACCAACCCAUAGAACUCCUUUGGGAAAUCUUUAAUAAGCGUAUGUCUUGAGUCAGAUAGAGGAAAGUGGAAUGUCAUGUGUAGGGAUAAAAUCCGCGAAGAUGUGAUGGAAGGCCGAAAGCGAAGGCAACUUUCUGGGUCUUGACUGACGCUAAAGAACGAAAGCGUGGGUAGCGACAGGGAUUAGAGACCCCUCUAGUCCACGCCGUAAACGAUGAGUGUUCACUUUGGGUGUUUACAUCCGAGGUUUAGCUAACGCGUUAAACACUCCGCCUGGGGAGUACGGUCGCAAGGCUGAAACUCAAGGGAAUUGACGGGAGCUCGCACAAGUGGUGGAUCAUCUUGUUUAAUUCGAUAAUACGCGCAAAACCUUACCAACCCUUGACAUCUUUUUUUUUCAAUACCUUAGGAGGGUAUUAGAUUACAAAAAGACAGGUGCUGCAUGGCUGUCGGCAGUUCGUGUUGUGAAACGUCUGGUUAAAUCCUAUAACGGACGCAACCCCUUCGAAAUUUCUAAAUUGCUUUUUCGGAAUGCCCAUGAGAAGUGGGAGGAAGGUGGGGAUCACGUCAAGUCAUCAUGGCCCUUAUGGGUUGGGCUACAAAGGUGAUACAAUGGUAAUUACAAAGGGAUGCAAUGAUUCAAGUCGGAGCAAAGCCUAAAAAAUUAUCUUAGUUCGGAUUGGUCUCUGCAACUCGGGACCAUGAAGCUGGAAUCACUAGUAAUCGUGGAUCAGCACGCCACGGUGAAUCUGUUCUCGGGCUUUGUACACACCGCCCGUCACACCGGGGAAGCCGGACUGAUCUAAAAACUUUAAAUCUUUUUUUAUCUUUUAUUUUUUACUUACUUUAAUAGUUUUUUUAACUGAUAUUCUUAGACAUUUAAGGCCGAAGGCCAGUUUGGUAACUCUGGUGAAGUCGUAACAAGGUAGCCGUAGGGGAACCUGCGGCUGGACUGGCUCAAUU
Molecule: ribosomal RNA, 1477 nt
Filed under: Chloropicon laureae
Lineage: Eukaryota; Viridiplantae; Chlorophyta; Chloropicophyceae; Chloropicales; Chloropicaceae
Description: SSU rRNA
Rfam family: Bacterial small subunit ribosomal RNA
Source: RNAcentral